RNAcentral lists this ribosomal RNA (253 nucleotides) under uncultured bacterium. Its description in RNAcentral is "partial 16S ribosomal RNA". It matches the Rfam family "Bacterial small subunit ribosomal RNA", at positions 524 to 776 of the family's 1533-position model. The record is from RNAcentral.
UACGAACCGUACAAACGUUAUUCGGAAUCACUGGGCUUAAAGGGUGCGUAGGCGGCCAUGUAAGUGAGGUGUGAAAUCCCUCGGCUCAACCGAGGAACUGCGCUUCAUACUGCAUGGCUUGAGGGAGACAGGGGUAAGCGGAACUGAUGGUGGAGCGGUGAAAUGCGUUGAUAUCAUCAGGAACACCGGUGGCGAAAGCGGCUUACUGGGUCUCGUCUGACGCUGAGGUACGAAAGCUAGGGUAGCGAACGGG